RNAcentral lists this ribosomal RNA (863 nucleotides) under uncultured bacterium. RNAcentral's name for it is "bacterial SSU rRNA". It matches the Rfam family "Bacterial small subunit ribosomal RNA", at positions 8 to 916 of the family's 1533-position model. The record is from RNAcentral.
AGAGUUUGAUCAUGGCUCAGAACGAACGCUGGCGGCAGGCUUAACACAUGCAAGUCGAGCGCCCCGCAAGGGGAGCGGCAGACGGGUGAGUAACACGUGGGAACGUACCCUUUACUACGGAAUAACGCAGGGAAACUUGUGCUAAUACCGUAUGUGCCCUUUUGGGGAAAGAUUUAUCGGUAAGGGAUCGGCCCGCGUUGGAUUAGCUAGUUGGUGGGGUAAAGGCCUACCAAGGCGACGAUCCAUAGCUGGUCUGAGAGGAUGAUCAGCCACAUUGGGACUGAGACACGGCCCAAACUCCUACGGGAGGCAGCAGUGGGGAAUAUUGGACAAUGGGCGCAAGCCUGAUCCAGCCAUGCCGCGUGAGUGAUGAAGGCCCUAGGGUUGUAAAGCUCUUUCACCGGAGAAGAUAAUGACGGUAUCCGGAGAAGAAGCCCCGGCUAACUUCGUGCCAGCAGCCGCGGUAAUACGAAGGGGGCUAGCGUUGUACGGAAUUACUGGGCGUAAAGCGCACGUAGGCGGACAUUUAAGUCAGGGGUGAAAUCCCAGAGCUCAACUCUGGAACUGCCUUUGAUACUGGGUGUCUUGAGUAUGGAAGAGGUGAGUGGAAUUCCGAGUGUAGAGGUGAAAUUCGUAGAUAUUCGGAGGAACACCAGUGGCGAAGGCGGCUCACUGGUCCAUUACUGACGCUGAGGGGCGAAAGCGUGGGGGAGCAAACAGGAUUAGAUACCCUGGUAGUUCCACGCCGUUAACGAUGAAUUGUUAGCCGUCGGGCAGUAUAACUGUCGGUGGGCGCAGCCUAACGCAUUAAAACAUUCCGCUGGGGAGUACGUCGCAGAAUUAAAACUCAAAGGAAUUGACGG